UGCCAGCCGCCGCGGUAAUACGGGAGUGGCAAGCGUUAUCCGGAAUUACUGGGCGUAAUGCGCGCGUAGGCGGAUUGGAAAGUUGGGGGUGAAAUCCCGGGGCUCAACCCCGGAACUGCCUUCAAAACUCCCAGUCUAGAGUUCGAGAGAGGUGAGUGGAAUUCCGAGUGUAGAGGUGAAAUUCGUAGAUAUUCGGAAGAACACCAGUGGCGAAGGCGGCUCACUGGCUCGAUACUGACGCUGAGGUGCGAAAGUGUGGGGAGCAAACAGGAUUAGAUA
RNAcentral lists this ribosomal RNA (279 nucleotides) under uncultured bacterium. RNAcentral describes it as "partial 16S ribosomal RNA". It matches the Rfam family "Bacterial small subunit ribosomal RNA", at positions 506 to 784 of the family's 1533-position model. The record is from RNAcentral.